CCUACGGGUGGCAGCAGUGGGGAAUAUUGCACAAUGGGGGAAACCCUGAUGCAGCGACGCCGCGUGAGUGAAGAAGUAUCUCGGUAUGUAAAGCUCUAUCAGCAGGGAAGAAAAUGACGGUACCUGACUAAGAAGCCCCGGCUAACUACGUGCCAGCAGCCGCGGUAAUACGUAGGGGGCAAGCGUUAUCCGGAUUUACUGGGUGUAAAGGGAGCGUAGACGGCGAAGCAAGUCUGAAGUGAAAACCCAGGGCUCAACCCUGGGACUGCUUUUGAAACUGUCAGACUGGAGUGCAGGAGAGGUAAGCGGAAUUCCUAGUGUAGCGGUGAAAUGCGUAGAUAUUAGGAGGAACAUCAGUGGCGAAGGCGGCUUUCUGGACUGUAACUGACGCUGAGGCUCGAAAGCUAGGGUAGCGAACGGGAUU
This 424-nucleotide ribosomal RNA is filed under the name uncultured Bacteroides sp. Its description in RNAcentral is "bacterial SSU rRNA". It matches the Rfam family "Bacterial small subunit ribosomal RNA", at positions 338 to 779 of the family's 1533-position model. The record is from RNAcentral. Lineage: Bacteria; Pseudomonadati; Bacteroidota; Bacteroidia; Bacteroidales; Bacteroidaceae.